GGUUAAGCGACUAAGCGUACACGGUGGAUGCCCUGGCAGUCAGAGGCGAUGAAGGACGUGCUAAUCUGCGAUAAGCGUCGGUAAGGUGAUAUGAACCGUUAUAACCGGCGAUUUCCGAAUGGGGAAACCCAGUGUGAUUCGUCACACUAUCAUUAACUGAAUCCAUAGGUUAAUGAGGCGAACCGGGGGAACUGAAACAUCU
This 202-nucleotide ribosomal RNA is filed under the name Escherichia coli. RNAcentral describes it as "partial 23S ribosomal RNA". It matches the Rfam family "Bacterial large subunit ribosomal RNA", at positions 1 to 203 of the family's 2925-position model. The record is from RNAcentral. RNAcentral also lists the same sequence under 1 other name. Lineage: Bacteria; Pseudomonadati; Pseudomonadota; Gammaproteobacteria; Enterobacterales; Enterobacteriaceae.